This is a long non-coding RNA of Catharus ustulatus (Swainson's thrush), 3178 nucleotides long. RefSeq lists it as uncharacterized. NCBI's taxonomy places the organism in Eukaryota, Metazoa, Chordata, Aves, Passeriformes, Turdidae. The record is from RefSeq and is a predicted model, not a curated record. The transcript is spliced from 2 exons.
CGGGACGCUACGCGGGGGACCGAGGAGUUGGCCCGUGCGGGAGCAUCCCCGCGGCGGCGGCUCCGCGCGCUCUGUCCGCACCCGGGCUGGGCUCAAUUUGAGGAAAAGGGGUUUCCAAGGCUGUUGUGGUCUUCAGGGCACUGCGGAGCUCCAGUCUCACUGUUGAGUUCUCACUCUGUAUCUCUUUGACUGUGACAAAUUGCUGCUGUAUUUGCUGGUUCUCAAGAUAUGAAAGACAAAAGUGAAAUCAGACCUGGCCGUUGAUGAGUACAGAGAAGUUAAUGGAGCCAAAGAGCAUUCUCUGUCCAAGGGCAUUAUUGUACACUGAAAAGUUCUCAGUCAUUAUGUAGAUUUUUUUCCUGCUUGCUGAAGAGGCACUGGGCAAAGGGGAUUUCUGUGUGCUGGGAUGGCACCUGGUUUGAACCCCCAGAGCAAUUCCUACAGCUUUAUGGAAAUCAUGCAUCUCAGUCUUUCAAGGACCUCAGAAGUCCUGUUGGGAGUUGAACACUAAGGGAUUUCACAAGUUCUCUCCAUGGACAAAUCUGCAGGACCAGGGUACCCUGGGCUUGUAAGAGUAUUUUUGAGACCAUGCAUCAGAAGUCAGAUAAAGUAACACAAUAAGAUUAAGGAAAACAAUAAAUGCUGUUUAUUCCAACAGAGUACAUGGUAUCUAACUUUUAAGAGAACUGGAAAUUGAGUUACAAAAACUGAAACAAAACCCCAAAACCUUAAAAAAUCAUUGAUUUGCAGCUGCCUAAAACUCUAUUUCAUCCCCCCAUUUUCAUUCUGUGGUGUGGCAGCCUGGGAGAACCCACACUCACAACCUUUAUGGCAGCUUUUUUUUUUUUUCAAUCCCUGUCCCACCCACCUUUUUUUUUUUUUACAGGUUUCUUCAUUUUGCAGCUAGUGAGUACAGAUUGACUCUCAAAGAAAUGUGCUCUAUUUUCCUAUGGCUAGAUUUGGAAAUACCAGUUUAUGUUCCUUUCACGCUGGCAAAAAUGCAAAGACAACAUUGCCAACUGUGCUUUUCCUGACCAGGCCGUUGGUUUUGAUGGAUGCCUUGCCUUCUGCACGCAUGGAGGGAGGAAGCUCUCUCAGUGGGCUUGCUUUCCUCCUGCUGUGGCUGAGCUCCCUAGCCAGCCAGUCCUUCUAACUCAGACAGAGGUAUUUGCUUUUUACAGAACUUCCCAGGUCACCUACAUUAAAGAGCAGUGUGUGGAUACUGUAUUAAAUCAAGCAACUGUCCCGCGUCUGUUUGAUCAGGUUAGACAUGAUACAUAAACAUACUAGAAAAUGGUUUCAGCAGUGGAGUUCAGACUGUGCAACACCCACCUUGAGGCACUGGCAGUUUUAGGAGGGUGCAUUCCAGACGUUAAAGCUCUUGUAGUGAAAAUGAUGGACACUGCAUUGCGGAAAGAGCAAAAAGCUCAGUAAAAAGAAUCUGUCAUGCAAUUGCAUGCUCUGAUGAUCACAGCUUUAUCACAUUCACUGAUCUUGCUCUUCUAAGAAAUUGUCAUACCAUGCUACAGGGCAGAAGCUUAAGAGCCUGAAAAGAAAGUGUAUUUUUGUGAAGUAUGGAUAACACUCUUAAUUUUCACUUGCUGAAUUUUCUCCUUGCUGGCUUCUUUUAGAGCAUCCAUAACUCAGAUUUACUUGACAGCACUACAGAAACAGACAUGGUUGAUAUCUUGGGAAUCAAAGACAUGAUGAUUUUUUUUUUCAAGGGCUGUCUAGGCUGUUUUAUCCUUCCCAGCCUAAUGGAGGUUUGUUUGGUACAAGACAUCCUCUGAUGAUAAUAACUUUCAUCAUUUAUGAGCAAAGUUUAUUUUUUAGUGAACUAAAAAUGUUCUUCCUAAGGAGAUUUCCCCCAUUUUCUUUUGGGCCAAUUUGUCUAGCCUGAGAUCUGAGUUUAGAUUUCCGUUGUGCUUUUUCUUCUCUCUCUUUUUUUUUUUUUUUUUUUUUUCCUAUCUGAAGAGGUUUCCUCUGCUGAAAACCUUCAACAACUGCUCAGAUCAUUUACAAGAAGCACUUUCACAGGGAGUAGCUCUACAAAAGAGAGGAAAAAUCGAAGUGACUACCUAUAAUAAUGAAGUUAAAUGCAGUUUUAAGUGUUUGUGAACUGAACUGACUGAAAGGGUGCCAAAUAUUUUGCAAAUAUAUACAAAAAGACAGGCCCCUGCUCUAAUCAGCUUGUAAAUUAAAAGGAAAGUACAUUGGCAAGAGCAGAAGAGAUGAUAUGACAUGCUUUAAAUAGUUUAUAGGGAGCUGGAGAAUUGUUGUUUAUUUGGUGAUGUUGGGAAAAUAUUUAAUGUGCUUUGGUUAAGCUCUUUAUAGAAAUGCUUCUCCUCCCCCAGUUUUCUUUUCCAAUGACUGUUUUGGAGAUUAAAACCAGCAAGUUUAGAGUAGAUGGAAAACGGAGAAACCUAUUUCGAAAUUGUCAAAACCGCGAGUAAAUCUUUAUAGAUACUUUUUAUGUGAGUCAGGCUUUCUAAAGUAAUUAUCGUAAUAUAAGAAAGGAUCAUCGCUUCGCCGCCCCUGCGGACGGCGAGCCAGUGUCGCAGCUGGUGUAAACUGAGAUAGCUCCUAUCUGCUGUGCGUGGCUGGGGAGGAGGUGGCCGUGACCCCCCUUUGCGGCUUCCCGGGACAUCCUCGGGCUGCGCCGGGCGGCAGCGGCGGCUCCCGGGGCUCCCCGCACCUCCGCUGCUGCCCCAGCGCUCUCAGAUAACCAAUUGUUAGCGUUUAAAGGUUUUCUACAGCAAGCAUACAGUUUAUUGAAAAACAGAUCAACAAACAAAAAAGCCCAAACCACUUUAUUUUUAGAUUUAACUUGCCGCUGCUGGAGUCAGACCAAAGUGGGGUGCAAUUGCAUUUCCGAGGGCACAGCACUGGGGCAAGCUCCCGGUGCUGGUUUGGAAGGCUCAGAUAGGUAAAUUAAUAUUUCCUUUAACGUCGUCUUCCCAGAAUCUGGAAGGUGACUCCGGCAUCUGGGAGGUUUUUGCCUCUCUCCCUGCUGUUUAAUGUUGUUGGUGAUAUCUCCGCAGAUAAGUGACUUCAGUGCAUCCGGAGUUUGCGUUCAAAGCAGAGACUAAUUGUGGGGAAUAUUUCAGAAUAAACACAUUUCUCUUCCGAAGUAAUGUGUUUGUAAGGAAAAAAUUUAUAAAAAAGAGGUUAAAGUGGA